UUUUUGUUUUUUAUAUUUUUUUUUUACUCUCUCAGACGAACGCUGUCGGCGUGCCUAAUACAUGCAAGUCGAACGCUUCUUUUUCCACCGGAGCUUGCUCCACCGGAAAAAGAGGAGUGGCGAACGGGUGAGUAACACGUGGGUAACCUGCCCAUCAGAAGGGGAUAACACUUGGAAACAGGUGCUAAUACCGUAUAACAAUCGAAACCGCAUGGUUUUGAUUUGAAAGGCGCUUUCGGGUGUCGCUGAUGGAUGGACCCGCGGUGCAUUAGCUAGUUGGUGAGGUAACGGCUCACCAAGGCCACGAUGCAUAGCCGACCUGAGAGGGUGAUCGGCCACAUUGGGACUGAGACACGGCCCAAACUCCUACGGGAGGCAGCAGUAGGGAAUCUUCGGCAAUGGACGAAAGUCUGACCGAGCAACGCCGCGUGAGUGAAGAAGGUUUUCGGAUCGUAAAACUCUGUUGUUAGAGAAGAACAAGGAUGAGAGUAACUGUUCAUCCCUUGACGGUAUCUAACCAGAAAGCCACGGCUAACUACGUGCCAGCAGCCGCGGUAAUACGUAGGUGGCAAGCGUUGUCCGGAUUUAUUGGGCGUAAAGCGAGCGCAGGCGGUUUCUUAAGUCUGAUGUGAAAGCCCCCGGCUCAACCGGGGAGGGUCAUUGGAAACUGGGAGACUUGAGUGCAGAAGAGGAGAGUGGAAUUCCAUGUGUAGCGGUGAAAUGCGUAGAUAUAUGGAGGAACACCAGUGGCGAAGGCGGCUCUCUGGUCUGUAACUGACGCUGAGGCUCGAAAGCGUGGGGAGCAAACAGGAUUAGAUACCCUGGUAGUCCACGCCGUAAACGAUGAGUGCUAAGUGUUGGAGGGUUUCCGCCCUUCAGUGCUGCAGCUAACGCAUUAAGCAUCCGC
RNAcentral lists this ribosomal RNA (907 nucleotides) under Enterococcus faecium. RNAcentral describes it as "bacterial SSU rRNA". It matches the Rfam family "Bacterial small subunit ribosomal RNA", at positions 1 to 872 of the family's 1533-position model. The record is from RNAcentral. Lineage: Bacteria; Bacillati; Bacillota; Bacilli; Lactobacillales; Enterococcaceae.